UACAGAGGUCUCAAGCGUUGUUCGGAUUCAUUGGGCGUAAAGGGUGCGUAGGCGGCGCGGUAAGUCGGGUGUGAAAUCUCGGAGCUUAACUCCGAAACUGCAUUCGAUACUGCCGUGCUUGAGGACUGGAGAGGAGACUGGAAUUUACGGUGUAGCGGUGAAAUGCGUAGAUAUCGGGAGGAAUACCUAUGGCGAAAGCAGGCUACUGAACCGUCACUGACGCUGAUCUGCGAAAGCUAGGGGAGCAAACAGG
RNAcentral lists this ribosomal RNA (253 nucleotides) under uncultured bacterium. Its description in RNAcentral is "partial 16S ribosomal RNA". It matches the Rfam family "Bacterial small subunit ribosomal RNA", at positions 524 to 776 of the family's 1533-position model. The record is from RNAcentral.